Molecule: non-coding RNA, 48 nt
Filed under: Schistosoma mansoni
Lineage: Eukaryota; Metazoa; Platyhelminthes; Trematoda; Strigeidida; Schistosomatidae
Source: RNAcentral
AUCCAGCUGAUGAAUCCCAAAGAGAACGAAACGAGCGUCAAACUGGAU